CUUCUGCUUUUGCACAAGUUUGUGUUGAAGAAGUCAGUGGAGACAGGAAGCGCUUCUUUGUGUGGAGGAGAAAAAUAUGGCAUGCUUACCUUCCUACUCUUCUUUUUAUUAUUUUUGGUGUUGAUACAACAUGUCACUGCUGUUGAUCUCUGAGAUAAUGUGAUAAAAAUAGAAGGAUUUCCAUCGCACUGAUGAUCAUGGAACAUGAUUUGUAUGCUGGGGCGAAAGGACAACGGUGGAUUGGAGGCAGAAAAACAGCCAUUCGUGUUCACUCAGUCGCCGGUGAAAGACGAGCAACGAGCAGGCAGGCGGAUGGAGUGAUGAAAACGAUAGAUGAGAGAUAAGAAGAGUGAAGGGAACAGUGACCUGCUUGGUAUUCACCUGUCUCUCUGGAUCAAUAAAGUCUCGUGGGGCCGCAGCGGGUCUCAUCAGUGGGUUAUAGGCAUGGAGGAUGCUGUCCGUCAUGUGAGGUCACCAGUGUUGAGAGGAAUGUUCCAUGUCAGGGACAUCAGGGGUGUCCUGAGGGAGACAAAACGCCACAAAGACUAAACCCCACCUCUGGCCAGUCACUGCUGCCUGUCCUGCUUGUCUAGUUUAUUUUAUGGAAGUACACAGGUGUGCACCACACCUGCACACAUGCUGCAUUUUCUCUCUCACUCGAUAUUCACGUGCAAGCUCUGUGUUGUGACCUCAGGUUAAAGUGUUACAGAGCACCCAUAUGCUCGUACAUGCUCUCUUUUUUUCCCCCCACACUGUCUCUUAUAAAAAGGUGUAAUGUUGACUUCAGACAACACAAAAAGGGCUUUUUAUGUGUUGAUGAACAGGAGUGAGACAGGUUAUUGGUACAGGCUAUGGGGGAGCAGAUUCCGUUUCAGUUUAUUUUAAUUAAGUGAGGAGAAGUAUGGGGGUCCACAUACCAUUCCUAUCAUAUCAUUCCCAUGUUUUGUAUCCCAGAAAGCUGCCACCUUUUAACAGGAAUGCAGCCUUUAAUGCAAGGCGUCAAAAGUGAAAGGAUAAAGAUCCCUGAUAAAGUCUGAAGUAUAUGGUUGUGCAUGAAACAAGUAAGAAACUGGUUCUGGAGGCGGACAAUCCUGACAUUGUCAUAUUGACAAUAAUCUGAUUAUGUGUUUUCAGGCAAUGUGUGCUCAUUUAUACUGUCAGGUUUUUAGUUUCCAUGAGCUUGUAUCAGGCUUCAGCAAAGUUCAGAUUCAGUUUUAGUGAGUAUCUUGUAAAUGUUACAAAGCAUGCAGUAAUUAUUAAAUUAUACUACCGAGUGGCUGCU
Long non-coding RNA from Scatophagus argus, 1282 nucleotides. RefSeq lists it as uncharacterized. The transcript has 4 exons. NCBI's taxonomy places the organism in Eukaryota, Metazoa, Chordata, Actinopteri, Scatophagidae. The record is from RefSeq and is a predicted model, not a curated record.